UUGCAGCGGUUAAAACGCUCGUAGUUGGAGUUCUUGUCGAGGCAGCUGGACCACCCUCUGGGUGCGUAUCUUGCUUGGCUUUGACAUCGCCUCGACGGGCGCAUGCGCGCUUUAUUGUGUGGUGCUGCGCGUUGGCAUGUUACUUUGAGGAAAGUAAUGCGCUUUAAGCAGGCACUGGGCUUGAAUAUGCUAGCAUGGAAUAAUACGAGUUGACAUCAGUUCGGCUUUGUUGGUUCACCGAGCUGGGUUUGCGACCAAGACAAAUAGUUGGGGGCAUGUGUAUUUAGUUGUCAGAGGUGAAAUUCUUGGAUUUGUUAAAGACAAGCAGUUGCGAAAGCUUUGGCCAAGG
RNAcentral lists this ribosomal RNA (349 nucleotides) under Grammatodinium sp. MLN-2019a. RNAcentral's name for it is "SSU rRNA". It matches the Rfam family "Eukaryotic small subunit ribosomal RNA", at positions 610 to 963 of the family's 1831-position model. Lineage: Eukaryota; Dinophyceae; Gonyaulacales. The record is from RNAcentral.